This 72-nucleotide transfer RNA is filed under the name Camelus bactrianus (Bactrian camel). It matches the Rfam family "tRNA". Rfam says of the family: Transfer RNA (tRNA) molecules are approximately 80 nucleotides in length. Their secondary structure includes four short double-helical elements and three loops (D, anti-codon, and T loops). The record is from Rfam by way of RNAcentral. Lineage: Eukaryota; Metazoa; Chordata; Mammalia; Artiodactyla; Camelidae. RNAcentral also lists the same sequence under 1 other name.
GUAUGUAUAGCUCAGUGGUAGAACGCAUGCCUAGCAUGCAUGAGGCCCUGGGUUGAAUCCUCAGUACCUCCA